GCCAAUCCCAAUUCCAGUGUACUUCGAGUCAUUGAGAGAACCCGAGUAUUGGGUAUGUGUAUAGCUGGUGAGGACAACAUCCUGAACAAGGUUGGGAACAUAAGCAGGCAGUAUGGCCCCAUCCCUUAUUGCGGUCAAAUUUAACUUGCAUUUGGCUAGAAGGUUUGGGUAGUCUGAGAACUGAGGCUCGGUUCCUGGUACUGUGUUGGCACAUGUGGUGUUUGUACAUGGUUGAUUUUUGAACUGGUCUGCAAUUUCUUCAGCGAUGCACUCUGCUUUAUCAUUCUCUGUGAGAGCUGGCAAAUUUAGAUUUGCCCUAUAGCUGUUGAUGCCUCGAAAAAGAGUUUCUUCCUCGUCUGAUUGAGAAUGGUGAAGAACAAAAUUAGUGCAAAUACAUAAUAAAAGAAUAGUUGGAAAAAUAGUAGUAUCUGUCCCGAUUUGAGAUUAUGCAAUGGAUGAAAUUAUACUCCCUCUUCUGUGCUUUGCAAUUGAACUAUCUUUACUUUAUGAGGAGAACCAAGUUUAGAUUUCUAAAGAAAAAUACGUAUACAUUUAUAUACCAUACAUACUUCAACAAAGAGGCAGCUCAUGUCUUCAGAAAGUAUAAAAGAUACCAUUGUUCAGAAAAAGUAAGAUAUAGUAAAUCUUUUCGAAAUGAAUUCAAACUAAUCAUUCACCCUAUUACUAGAAUUAUGAAAGAACAUGAUACAAAAUGAAGUGUUCAAAUUACCUCCAUCCAGGAUCGUAGACGUGUUUGUGGUCAAAAUGACAACAAUCCAGUUAUCAUCAGAGCCAAUCCCAAUUCCAGUGUACUUCGAGUCAUUGAGAGAACCCGAGUAUUGGGUAUGUGUAUAGCUGGUGAGGACAACAUCCUGAACAAGGUUGGGAACAUAAGCAGGCAGUAUGGCCCCAUCCCUUAUUGCGGUCAAAUUUAACUUGCAUUUGGCCAGAAGGUUUGGGUAGUCUGAGAACUGAGGCUCGGUUCCUGGUACUGUGUUGGCACAUGUGGUAUUUG
RNAcentral lists this long non-coding RNA (1015 nucleotides) under Panax ginseng (ginseng). Its description in RNAcentral is "long non-coding RNA (PGIN_LNC005202)". Lineage: Eukaryota; Viridiplantae; Streptophyta; Magnoliopsida; Apiales; Araliaceae. The record is from RNAcentral.